GGCGCGUACGGGGCACUAGAUGUGGGACAUUCCACGGUUUCUGUGUCGUAGCUAACGCAUUACCUUGCCCGCCUGGGGAGUACCGCCGCAAGGCUAAAACUCAAAGGAAUUGACGGGGGCCCGCACAAGCGGCGGAGCAUGCGGAUUAAUUCGAUGCAACGCGAAGAACCUUACCAAGGCUUGACAUAUAGAAGAACACUGCAAAGAUGCAGGACUCUUUGGACACUUCUAUACAGGUGGUGCAUGGUUGUCGUCAGCUCGUGUCGUGAGAUGUUCGGUUAAGUCCGGCAACGAGCGCAACCCUCGUCCUAUGUUGCCAGCGGGCUAUGCCGGGGACUCAUGGGAUACUGCCGUGGUCAACACGGAGGAAGGUGGGGAUGGCGUCAAAUCAUCAUGCCCCUUAUGUCUUGGGCUUCACGCAUGCUACAAUGGCCGGUACAGAGGGCAGCAAUACCGUAAGGUGGAGCGAAUCCCAAAAAGCCGGUCUCAGUUCGGAUUGGGGUCUGCAACUCGACCCCAUGAAGUCGGAGUCGCUAGUAAUCGCAGAUCAGCAACGCUGCGGUGAAUACGUUCCCGGGCCUUGUACACACCGCCCGUCAAGUCAUGAAAGUCGGUAACACCCGAAGCCGGUGGCCUAACCCUUUUGGGAGGGAGCUGUCGAAGGUGGGACUGGUGAUUAGGACUAAGUCGUA
This 692-nucleotide ribosomal RNA is filed under the name uncultured Leucobacter sp. RNAcentral describes it as "bacterial SSU rRNA". It matches the Rfam family "Bacterial small subunit ribosomal RNA", at positions 799 to 1490 of the family's 1533-position model. The record is from RNAcentral. Lineage: Bacteria; Bacillati; Actinomycetota; Actinomycetes; Micrococcales; Microbacteriaceae.